Molecule: ribosomal RNA, 739 nt
Filed under: uncultured Gammaproteobacteria bacterium
Lineage: Bacteria; Pseudomonadati; Pseudomonadota; Gammaproteobacteria
Description: bacterial SSU rRNA
Rfam family: Bacterial small subunit ribosomal RNA
Source: RNAcentral
GUCGAACGGCAGCACAGAGGAGCUUGCUCCUUGGGUGGCGAGUGGCGGACGGGUGAGGAAUACAUCGGAAUCUACUCUGUCGUGGGGGAUAACGUAGGGAAACUUACGCUAAUACCGCAUACGACCUACGGGUGAAAGCAGGGGAUCUUCGGACCUUGCGCGAUUGAAUGAGCCGAUGUCGGAUUAGCUAGUUGGCGGGGUAAAGGCCCACCAAGGCGACGAUCCGUAGCUGGUCUGAGAGGAUGAUCAGCCACACUGGAACUGAGACACGGUCCAGACUCCUACGGGAGGCAGCAGUGGGGAAUAUUGGACAAUGGGCGCAAGCCUGAUCCAGCCAUACCGCGUGGGUGAAGAAGGCCUUCGGGUUGUAAAGCCCUUUUGUUGGGAAAGAAAUCCAGCUGGCUAAUACCCGGUUGGGAUGACGGUACCCAAAGAAUAAGCACCGGCUAACUUCGUGCCAGCAGCCGCGGUAAUACGAAGGGUGCAAGCGUUACUCGGAAUUACUGGGCGUAAAGCGUGCGUAGGUGGUCGUUUAAGUCCGUUGUGAAAGCCCUGGGCUCAACCUGGGAACUGCAGUGGAUACUGGACGACUAGAGUGUGGUAGAGGGUAGCGGAAUUCCUGGUGUAGCAGUGAAAUGCGUAGAGAUCAGGAGGAACAUCCAUGGCGAAGGCAGCUACCUGGACCAACACUGACACUGAGGCACGAAAGCGUGGGGAGCAAACAGGAUUAGAUACCCUG